CCGUCCUGACUUCUGUUGAAAAUGUGGACCAACUGGAAGACAACGUGUUCGCUACUCCUGCACCUCCAACCAACAAGAAGGCUCAAAAAGGUAAAAGUACAGCUGCCAAGAAGAAAGCAGCCACCAAAACUCCAGGGAAAACUCCGGCCAGGAGAGGCAAGAAAAAAGCAGACUGGGAGUCAGACAGCGAUGCUGAUGCGGAAGCCAGCGUGUCGGAGAGUCCAGCGCCCGCCACCCGCGCCCGAUCCACCCGUAAGGCUGCGACGCGCACCCGGGUCAACCUGAAGGAUCUGCUGUCCGACUCCGGCAGCGACGCACCUCAGGACGACUCACAAGCAGUGUAAGGCACAAUUACUGUGAUAUUAGGUUUGCUGUAUUCCUACUGCCUUCUACUAGUGCCUAGGUCAGGAGCUUCCCUCCCUUCCUUGUAUGUACCUGCAUUUUGCUCUAUAGGGCCCUAGAUUCUGCUACUUUUAAACUGAAUGCUUGCAGCUCUGUUCUGAAUCUCAAAUUCUGCAUAAUUUCUAAUGUGCUUGUUUCAAUUUAGAUUAUGUCUAAGACUUGUAGAGAUUGCAGAAAACUAAAAACAACAGCCUCAGUGCUUUGACUCAAAUAUUGCAGAAAUCAAAGUAUUUCGAGCCCUUUGUGGCAAUUCUAAUGGUGCAUCUGCAUACAGCUAGUCCUGAGGUGCAUCACUGGUGCCUUUUAACUUUGGAGCCAGCUUAAACUAUGCAAAAAAUUAAGACCAAUAUCAUAACUCUUUGUUUUCUAACCUCUGAGUUUUCAUAGUGUACCAUUAACACUUGUUUCAUGUUACUUACAGACCCAAAAGGUCAACUCGAAGAACUCUACGCUCAUUAGACAACACGUCUUAGGUUAAUGCAAAUGAAAAUGACAACCCGGGACUAUGAUGAAUAUGUAUACUA
Long non-coding RNA from Branchiostoma floridae (Florida lancelet), 926 nucleotides. RefSeq lists it as uncharacterized. The record is from RefSeq and is a predicted model, not a curated record. NCBI's taxonomy places the organism in Eukaryota, Metazoa, Chordata, Leptocardii, Amphioxiformes, Branchiostomatidae. The transcript has 3 exons.